UUCGUGAACAUAGCAGACUGCUCAGUAACACGUGGAUAACCUGCCCUUAGGACUGGCAUAACCCCGGGAAACUGGGGAUAAUUCCGGAUAGAUCAUAAAUGCUGGAAUGCUUUAUGAUUGAAAGGUUUCGACCGCCUUAGGGUGGAUCUGCGGCCUAUCAGGUUGUAGUGGGUGUAAUGUACCUACUAGCCUACGACGGGUACGGGUUGUGGAAGCAAGAGCCCGGAGAUGGAUUCUGAGACAUGAAUCCAGGCCCUACGGGGCGCAGCAGGCGCGAAAACUUUACAAUGCGGGAAACCGUGAUAAGGGAACACUGAGUGCUAGCAUUUAUGUUAGCUGUCCACAUGUGUAAAUAGCAUGUGAUAGCAAGGGCUGGGCAAGACCGGUGCCAGCCGCCGCGGUAACACCGGCAGCCCGAGUGGUGAUCACUAUUAUUGGGUCUAAAGGGUCCGUAGCCGGUUUAAUCAGUCUUCUGGGAAAUCUAAUCGCUUAACUAUUAGGCUUCCAGGGGAUACUGUUAGACUUGGGACCGGGAGAGGUAAGAGGUACUGCAGGGGUAGGAGUGAAAUCUUGUAAUCCCUGUGAGACCACCAGUGGCGAAGGCGUCUUACCAGAACGGGUCCGACGGUGAGGGACGAAAGCUGGGGGCACGAACCGGAUUAGAUACCCGGGUAGUCCCAGCUGUAAACGAUGCUCGUUAGGUGUCAGGAACGGUGCGACUGUUUCUGGUGCCGAAC
RNAcentral lists this ribosomal RNA (737 nucleotides) under uncultured archaeon. RNAcentral's name for it is "bacterial SSU rRNA". It matches the Rfam family "Archaeal small subunit ribosomal RNA", at positions 69 to 806 of the family's 1478-position model. The record is from RNAcentral.